This is a long non-coding RNA of Alosa sapidissima (American shad), 443 nucleotides long. RefSeq lists it as uncharacterized. The record is from RefSeq and is a predicted model, not a curated record. The transcript is spliced from 2 exons. Lineage: Eukaryota; Metazoa; Chordata; Actinopteri; Clupeiformes; Clupeidae.
CUCAAACCCCAAAGGUGUCACAGGUAUACACACACACACACACAUACACACACACACACAUUGAUAAUGACCCUUCUCUUCAAACCCCAAAGGUGUCACAGGAAGAAGACUCUGAAGAUAUAUACAUAAAUGACAUGAUGGGUGACAGUCCUGAGAACAUUUACUUGAACAGCUGAACUUGGGAACAAUGGAGAAAUUAUUAUAGUACUGUACAUCAUCAUUGGAUAUAUUACAGUGUCAAGUAGAUUGAGUGGAAUAUAUCCCAAAUCAGAUAAGGUUGUUGUUUCCCCACCUCUCUUGUUGUUUUGUCCAAACCUUGUCUAGCCAUAGUUGGGCAUUAAUAUCAUGAAAAGUAUUAUUCAUAGCCAGCCCAAACUCCCGAGGAUGGAAGACAAACAUCAACUUCAACAAAACCAACUUUUUAUUAUAAACUUUUGUACCUA